GCCUCAGUAACGGCGAGUGAAGCGGCAAUAGCUCAAAUUUGAAAUCUGCUCUUUGAGCCGAAUUGUAAUUUGUAGAGGAUGCUUCGGCUUACGUUUCGGUCUAAGUUCCUUGGAACAGGACGUCAUAGAGGGUGAGAAUCCCGUCUGUGGCCGAGACUUCCGCCAUGUGAAGCUCCUUCGACGAGUCGAGUUGUUUGGGAAUGCAGCUCUAAAUGGGAGGUAUAUUUCUUCUAAAGCUAAAUACCGGCCAGAGACCGAUAGCGCACAAGUAGAGUGAUCGAAAGAUGAAAAGCACUUUGGAAAGAGAGUUAAAAAGUACGUGAAAUUGUUGAAAGGGAAGCGUUUGCGACCAGACUUGCCCGCGGAUGCUCAACCGGUCCUUCGGCCGGUGCACUCUUCCGCGGUCAGGCCAGCAUCAGUUCGAGUAGCCAGAUAAAGGCAUUGGGAAUGUGGCUCUCUUCGGGGAGUGUUAUAGCCCUUUGUGUAAUAUGGUUCAUUUGGACUGAGGCCCGCGCUUCGGCUAGGAUGCUGGCGUAAUGGUCGUAAGCGGCCCGUCUUGAAACACGGACCAAGGAGUCUAACAUCUAUGCGAGUGUUUGGGUGUCAAACCCGUGCGCGAAAUGAAAGUGAACGGAGGUGGGAACCUUUGGGUGCACCAUCGACCGAUCCUGAUGUCUUCGGAUGGAUUUGAGUAAGAGCAUAGCUGUUGGGACCCGAAAGAUGGUGAACUAUGCCUGAAUAGGGUGAAGCCAGAGGAAACUCUGGUGG
RNAcentral lists this ribosomal RNA (768 nucleotides) under Tubeufia pandanicola. Its description in RNAcentral is "partial 28S large subunit ribosomal RNA". It matches the Rfam family "Eukaryotic large subunit ribosomal RNA", at positions 77 to 870 of the family's 3401-position model. Lineage: Eukaryota; Fungi; Ascomycota; Dothideomycetes; Tubeufiales; Tubeufiaceae. The record is from RNAcentral.